CCUACGGGAGGCUGCAGUGGGGAAUAUUGGACAAUGGGCGAAAGCCUGAUCCAGCCAUGCCGCGUGUGUGAAGAAGGCCUUCGGGUUGUAAAGCACUUUCAGUGGGGAAGAAAGCCUUGGGGCUAAUACCCUCGAGGAAGGACAUCACCCACAGAAGAAGCACCGGCUGAACUCCGUGCCAGCAGCCGCGGUAAUACGGAGGGUGCGAGCGUUAAUCGGAAUUACUGGGCGUAAAGCGCGCGUAGGCGGUCUGAUAAGCCGGUUGUGAAAGCCCCGGGCUCAACCUGGGAACGGCAUCCGGAACUGUCAGGCUAGAGUGCAGGAGAGGAAGGUAGAAUUCCCGGUGUAGCGGUGAAAUGCGUAGAGAUCGGGAGGAAUACCAGUGGCGAAGGCGGCCUUCUGGACUGACACUGACGCUGAGGUGCGAAAGCGUGGGUAGCAAACAGGAUUAGAUACCCUGGUAGUC
RNAcentral lists this ribosomal RNA (466 nucleotides) under Vreelandella stevensii. RNAcentral describes it as "partial 16S ribosomal RNA". It matches the Rfam family "Bacterial small subunit ribosomal RNA", at positions 338 to 795 of the family's 1533-position model. The record is from RNAcentral. Lineage: Bacteria; Pseudomonadati; Pseudomonadota; Gammaproteobacteria; Oceanospirillales; Halomonadaceae.